RNAcentral lists this ribosomal RNA (464 nucleotides) under Vreelandella stevensii. RNAcentral's name for it is "partial 16S ribosomal RNA". It matches the Rfam family "Bacterial small subunit ribosomal RNA", at positions 338 to 795 of the family's 1533-position model. The record is from RNAcentral. Lineage: Bacteria; Pseudomonadati; Pseudomonadota; Gammaproteobacteria; Oceanospirillales; Halomonadaceae.
CCUACGGGCGGCUGCAGUGGGGAAUAUUGGACAAUGGGCGAAAGCCUGAUCCAGCCAUGCCGCGUGUGUGAAGAAGGCCUUCGGGUUGUAAAGCACUUUCAGUGGGGAAGAAAGCCUUGGGGCUAAUACCCUCGAGGAAGGACAUCACCCACAGAAGAAGCACCGGCUAACUCCGUGCCAGCAGCCGCGGUAAUACGGAGGGUGCGAGCGUUAAUCGGAAUUACUGGGCGUAAAGCGCGCGUAGGCGGGUUGAUAAGCCGGUUGUGAAAGCCCCGGGCUCAACCUGGGAACGGCAUCCGGAACUGUCAGGCUAGAGUGCAGGAGAGGAAGGUAGAAUUCCCGGUGUAGCGGUGAAAUGCGUAGAGAUCGAGAGGAAUACCAGUGGCGAAGGCGGCCUUCUGGACUGACACUGACGCUGAGGUGCGAAAGCGUGGGUAGCAAACAGGAUAGAUACCCCAGUAGUC